Molecule: long non-coding RNA, 1499 nt
Filed under: Daucus carota (carrot)
Lineage: Eukaryota; Viridiplantae; Streptophyta; Magnoliopsida; Apiales; Apiaceae
Description: long non-coding RNA (DCAR_LNC007363)
Source: RNAcentral
GCUGAAAUUUUUCUCUGUUUUGGAUACUAAUUAAGCAUGUUGAGAGUAGUUGUAAAAUAUCAAAACCUCUAUAACUAGAUGCUAUGUAGAGUCUUAUGUGAUUACCAAGAAGAAUUACUUGAUUUGGAUAUGUAUAGUUAAAGUUAUGAAUUUUGUAAGCCAAUAGUGUCAACCUCCCUGCUAUAGUUGAAAUUCUGUUGUGUACUUCAUUUUCAAAAAUGCAUAACUUAAUAACUACACGUCCAAAUCUGCUUUUGUUGUUUUUAUAAUGUGGUUAUGUGAUUAGUCUUUGGUUUGUAUUCUUUGAAUAUAUCUGUGGUACAAGGGAGUACAAGUGCAAUUGUGGAUCUACCUUCUCCAGGUUAGGAUUAUACCAAAAAUCUCUCUUUAAUUUAUAGUUUUAAUUCUUACCUUCUCAUUCCCUUCCCAUAAAUGUUAUUUUAUUUAAUUUUGUCUUGUUUAUGAUUUAUUGAACUCAAAGGUUUGUAUUGGGCAGAGGAAUUGAUUUACCAGGGUCCUUCUGUAGAAUUAUUUUUUGUUUGUGUUUAUAUAUAGAUUAAAGAUAAUAUAAAGCAUUAAAUAUAAAAAUCCAAAUUAAUUCAACGUCUUUGCAUUCUCACCUUAGAAAAACGCAGCAAACCAUACAAUGUGUAUAGGUUUGUUCUAUAUCUCAUGUGUUGUUUUGCUACAUGUAGGGAUUUACUGGUUUUAUAUAAUGUAGUGAAAUUUUGUCCAUACCUUUGCUAUUGGUUUGUAUAUAAGAAAAUAAAUUCAAUUGCUAAUAUAUAUGAUUCAUAUUUAUAUUAGUUGGUAUAUGCAUGCAUUGGUCAAGUUUGGAUGAAUCAAAGUGUAACUAACUCCUUUUGCAGGCGUGAUAGUUUAAUCAAUCACCAUUCAAUAUGCCAAGUGUUUGUGGGAGAGGUGGCUAGGCACACAACAAAUUGGCCCCAGCACCAGCAUGACUGCUGGAAUACAUGCAAAUGUUAGUAAUAUGCCUUUUCGUCCAAUUUGGGAGUCAAAACUUAAUAUUCCUAGAUCCUCUGAAUAUUCGGAGAUUCGUGGCUUUCCUAGCAACAUAGCACCAAGCAACAUGUUUGAUUUUGGUUUUGAUGGUAGUGCAAAACCAAAACCAAGUUGGAAUUUGAAUAUGAAAGGAGGAAGAUAACAAAGACCUAAUCUAGAUGCAGACUUUGGACCGAGAGGCACCAAUGUUGCUAAUUAUAUUUGCAGAUGGUUAACAUGUCAAUUUUUUGUUGGCAAAUUUGGGUUUGUGGCAACACCACUAGUUAACAUGUCAAUUCUAUGUCAUUCCAAAAUUUAUUAAUUUAUGAUUCAAUAAAUUGUAUAAACGGAAAGGUUUGUAAUCUUAGCAGAGAAGUCCUUUGGUGAUAACCGAGUUGUGCUUCAAUUAAUCAUGUCAGCAAUGGCAUCGUCGUGUUUCGGGUUGUGUCAGAUGUACCUGACCUUAAUUAAGAUAAAACCUGUAUAGCUUAUAUUUC